Molecule: ribosomal RNA, 497 nt
Filed under: uncultured bacterium
Lineage: Bacteria
Description: partial 16S ribosomal RNA
Rfam family: Bacterial small subunit ribosomal RNA
Source: RNAcentral
GAUGAACGCUGGCGGCGUGCCUAAUACAUGCAAGUCGAGCGAACAGACGAGGAGCUUGCUCCUCUGACGCUAGCGGCGGACGGGUGAGUAACACGUGGAUAACCUACCUAUAAGACUGGGAUAACUUCGGGAAACCGGAGCUAAUACCGGAUAAUAUAUUGAACCGCAUGGUUCAAUAGUGAAAGACGGUUUUGCUGUCGCUUAUAGAUGGAUCCGCGCCGCAUUAGCUAGUUGGUAAGGUAACGGCUUACCAAGGCGACGAUGCGUAGCCGACCUGAGAGGGUGAUCGGCCACACUGGAACUGAGACACGGUCCAGACUCCUACGGGAGGCAGCAGUAGGGAAUCUUCCGCAAUGGGCGAAAGCCUGACGGAGCAACGCCGCGUGAGUGAUGAAGGUCUUCGGAUCGUAAAACUCUGUUAUUAGGGAAGAACAAAUGUGUAAGUAACUAUGCACGUCUUGACGGUACCUAAUCAGAAAGCCACGGCUAACUACGUG